UACGUAGGGGGCAAGCGUUGUCCGGAAUCAUUGGGCGUAAAGAGCGUGUAGGCGGUUCGGUAAGUCUGCUGUGAAAGUCCAGGGCUCAACCCUGGAAAGCCGGUGGAUACUGUCGGACUAGAGUGCGGAAGAGGCGAGUGGAAUUCCCGGUGUAGCGGUGAAAUGCGCAGAUAUCGGGAGGAACACCAAUUGCGAGGGCAGCUCGCUGGGACGUGACUGACGCUGAGACGCGAAAGCGUGGGGAGCAAACAGG
Molecule: ribosomal RNA, 253 nt
Filed under: uncultured bacterium
Lineage: Bacteria
Description: partial 16S ribosomal RNA
Rfam family: Bacterial small subunit ribosomal RNA
Source: RNAcentral